This is a long non-coding RNA of Carassius carassius (crucian carp), 518 nucleotides long. RefSeq lists it as uncharacterized. The transcript has 5 exons. Lineage: Eukaryota; Metazoa; Chordata; Actinopteri; Cypriniformes; Cyprinidae. The record is from RefSeq and is a predicted model, not a curated record.
GGAACAGAUGUCGUAGGUAACCAUGACAACAGUAUGAUCAGUAUCGGGCGGUUACUUCAUUACAGGGACAAGCCAAGUUGAAUUACUCAUCCCAUAGGUUCACAGGAGGAGAGGGCAAACCCUGGAUGACAAAGAGUUGCAUCAGCAAUUACUGAGCGACAUGACUUCAAGAGAGGUAUUGGUGCACUGCAGACUAUAGUUCUCCAUGAUCAGAUGAGGAUCAACAAUGCACUGUCAGGACACAUUAAUGAGCAUGGAUGCUACAGAAGAAAAUUUUCAAAGAACGAAUGGCUCAAGGUUUAAAACACUGUCGCAGUCUUCCUUUCCUCUCCUCCGUUCUUUCCACGCUCCCACAGUUUUCACAGGCUCCCUGGAUGACUCACAUGCGGCCCUCUGCACCACCUCUGCCCUUCUCCGUAACUCCUAAAGAGAGAUACCAGAACCUCAAACUACAGGACCUUUGAGAAAAAAAUUGAACAGCAAUAAAGGUAACCAUUUUUAUUUGUUUAUCAAACUUU